GACGAACGCUGGCGGCGUGCUUAACACAUGCAAGUCGAACGAAGCUUGAUUACGGAUUCUUCGGAUGAAGUAUGAUAUGACUGAGUGGCGGACGGGUGAGUAACGCGUGAGUAACCUGCCCUUCAGAGGGGGAUAGCGUUUGGAAACGAACGGUAAUACCGCAUAAUGUAUUUUGACCGCAUGAUCGAAAUACCAAAGAUUUAUCGCUGAAGGAUGGACUCGCGUCUGAUUAGGUAGUGGGUGGGGUAACGGCCUACCAAGCCGACGAGCAGUAGCCGGACUGAGAGGUGGAUCGGCCACAUUGGGACUGAGACACGGCCCAGACUCCUACGGGAGGCAGCAGUGGGGAAUAUUGCACAAUGGGCGCAAGCCUGAUGCAGCAACGCCGCGUGAAGGAAGACGGUUUUCGGAUUGUAAACUUCUGUUCUUAGAGAAGAAUAAUGACGGUAGCUAAGGAGCAAGCCACGGCUAACUACGUG
RNAcentral lists this ribosomal RNA (479 nucleotides) under uncultured bacterium. RNAcentral describes it as "partial 16S ribosomal RNA". It matches the Rfam family "Bacterial small subunit ribosomal RNA", at positions 28 to 507 of the family's 1533-position model. The record is from RNAcentral.